This 808-nucleotide ribosomal RNA is filed under the name uncultured Alphaproteobacteria bacterium. RNAcentral describes it as "SSU rRNA". It matches the Rfam family "Bacterial small subunit ribosomal RNA", at positions 22 to 865 of the family's 1533-position model. The record is from RNAcentral. Lineage: Bacteria; Pseudomonadati; Pseudomonadota; Alphaproteobacteria.
GNUCAGAACGAACGCUGGCGGCAGGCUUAACACAUGCAAGUCGAACGAGAACCCAUCCUUCGGGGUGGUGGAAAGUGGCGCACGGGUGAGUAACRCKUGGGAACCUACCCUUUGGUUCGGAAUAACCGCGGGAAACUGCGGCUAAUACCGAAUAAGCCCUCUGGGGGAAAGAUUUAUCGCCGAAGGAUGGGCCCGCGGCGGAUUASCUUGUUGGUAGGGUAACGGCCUACCAAGGCUACGAUCCGUAGCUGGUCUGAGAGGAUGGUCAGCCACACUGGGACUGARACACGGCCCAGACUCCUACGGGAGGCAGCAGUGGGGAAUAUUGGACAAUGGGCGCAAGCCUGAUCCAKCCAUGCCGCGUGAKUGAAKAASGCCCUAGGGUUGUAAAGCUCUUUCACCGGGGAAGAUAAUGACGGUACCCGGAAAAGAAKCCCCGGCUAACUCCGUGCCAGCAGCCGCGGUAAUACGGAGGGGGCUAGCGUUGUUCGGAAUUACUGGGCGUAAAGCGCGCGUAGGCGGUUUGCCAAGUUGGGGGUGAAAUCCCGGGGCUCAACUCCGGAACUGCCCUCGAAACUGGCAGGCUAGAGUGUGGGAGAGGAGAGUGGAAUUCCCAGUGUAGAGGUGAAAUUCGUAGAUAUUGGGAAGAACACCAGUGGCGAAGGCGGCUCUCUGGACCACAACUGACGCUGAGGCGCGAAAGCGUGGGGAGCAAACAGGAUUAGAUACCCUGGUAGUCCACGCCGUAAACGAUGAGUGCUAGACGUUGGGGGGCUUGCCCUUCAGUGUCGGAGCUAACGCAUUAANC